This 448-nucleotide ribosomal RNA is filed under the name uncultured bacterium. RNAcentral's name for it is "partial 16S ribosomal RNA". It matches the Rfam family "Bacterial small subunit ribosomal RNA", at positions 330 to 794 of the family's 1533-position model. The record is from RNAcentral.
GCCAGACUCCUACGGGAGGCAGCAGUGGGGGAUAUUGCACAAUGGGGGGAACCCUGAUGCAGCGACGCCGCGUGGGUGAAGGAGCGUUUCGGCGCGUAAAGCCCUCUCGGCAGGGAAGAAGGAGGACGGUACCUGACUAAGAAGCCCCGGCUAACUACGUGCCAGCAGCCGCGGUAAUACGUAGGGGGCAAGCGUUAUCCGGAUUUACUGGGUGUAAAGGGGGCGCAGACGGCAGCGCAAGCCAGGAGUGAAAGCCCGGGGCCCAACCCCGGGACUGCUCUUGGAACUGCGCGGCUGGAGUGCAGGAGGGGCAGGCGGAAUUCCUGGUGUAGCGGUGAAAUGCGUAGAUAUCAGGAGGAACACCGGUGGCGAAGGCGGCCUGCUGGACUGCGACUGACGUUGAGGCCCGAAAGCGUGGGGAGCAAACAGGAUUAGAUACCCCCGUACU